Long non-coding RNA from Otolemur garnettii (small-eared galago), 401 nucleotides. RefSeq lists it as uncharacterized. NCBI's taxonomy places the organism in Eukaryota, Metazoa, Chordata, Mammalia, Primates, Galagidae. The transcript is spliced from 3 exons. The record is from RefSeq and is a predicted model, not a curated record.
CUCCAGUGCCAGGCUCCAGUCAGUGUCCUAGUAGGCUCCUGAUAAGUGAGGAACAUCGGUCUGCCUGCAGUCAGCUAAUCUCCCCGAACCUUGUUCACUGCAUCAGGAGAUCAUAAAGCAAAAGGGUCACACAGGUAGACCUGCACAACGGAGAUGAAGAUGUUCUCCCAGGACCCAGACAGACAUAACCAAGAGGCAGCUUAUCACGUAUACAGCACUGCUACACUCCAUGGGCUUCUGGAGAAUCCAUAAGCAACUGGAAUUAUCCUCUUUGAUGACCCAUCCAGCUGUCAAAGGCAGAACACCCUAAUGGCCUUCUUAGCUAGCUGCCUGCUAAUCAGCUGCUUACCAAGAAAAGGCAGUGUUCAUAAUUUUAAACUCCUCUACAGUUUUUCAUUUUC